This 253-nucleotide ribosomal RNA is filed under the name uncultured bacterium. Its description in RNAcentral is "partial 16S ribosomal RNA". It matches the Rfam family "Bacterial small subunit ribosomal RNA", at positions 524 to 776 of the family's 1533-position model. The record is from RNAcentral.
UACGUAGGGUGCAAGCGCUAAUCGGAAUUACUGGGCGUAAAGCGCGCGCAGGCGGUUUUGUAAGUCUGUCGUGAAAGCCCCGGGCUCAACCUGGGAAUUGCGAUGGAGACUGCAAGGCUUGAAUCUGGCAGAGGGGGGUAGAAUUCCACGUGUAGCAGUGAAAUGCGUAGAGAUGUGGAGGAACACCGAUGGCGAAGGCAGCCCCCUGGGUCAAGAUUGACGCUCAUGCACGAAAGCGUGGGGAGCAAACAGG